CUAGCGGAGACGCUGGAGUGCCUUCGGGAACUCUGAGACAGGUGCUGCAUGGCUGUCGUCAGCUCGUGUUGUGAAAUGUUGGGUUAAGUCCCGCAACGAGCGCAACCCUUAUCCUUGUUUGCCAGCGAGUAAUGUCGGGAACUCCAGGGAGACUGCCGGUGAUAAACCGGAGGAAGGUGGGGACGACGUCAAGUCAUCAUGGCCCUUACGAGUAGGGCUACACACGUGCUACAAUGGCGCAUACAGAGGGCGGCCAACUUGCGAAAGUGAGCGAAUCCCAAAAAGUGCGUCGUAGUCCGGAUUGGAGUCUGCAACUCGACUCCAUGAAGUCGGAAUCGCUAGUAAUCGUGGAUCAGAAUGCCACGGUGAAUACGUUCCCGGGCCUUGUACACACCGCCCGUCACACCAUGGGAGUGGGCUGCAAAAGAAGUGGGUAGUUUAACCUUCGGGAGGACGCUCACCACUUUGUGGUUCAUGACUGGGGUGAAGUCGUAACAAGGUAGCGCUAGGGGAACCUGGCGCUGGAUCACCUCCUUA
RNAcentral lists this ribosomal RNA (537 nucleotides) under Vibrio vulnificus. RNAcentral's name for it is "bacterial SSU rRNA". It matches the Rfam family "Bacterial small subunit ribosomal RNA", at positions 997 to 1533 of the family's 1533-position model. Lineage: Bacteria; Pseudomonadati; Pseudomonadota; Gammaproteobacteria; Vibrionales; Vibrionaceae. The record is from RNAcentral.